AACAAGCAAACAACUAAACAGUUAACUUGCAAUUAAUGCGGAAAUCGAAUCUUGGAAACUCGAGUUGUCACACAGUGUUAGUGUUUAUUGAUGCAUCGUAUUCACACCCUUACAUCCCCCUUUCAGAUAUUGAAUCCUCCAAAUGUUAUCAUCAGUUUCUUCAGCUCAAUCGUUCUCUUCAAUUAGGCUUUAUGAUUGAAUCUCUACAGCUGCAAAGGAAUUCAAUACUGAUGAUUCAAACCAAACAUUGAAACCCAAUACCUAAUUUAAUACACCAAUCUGCUGAAAUCAAUAACCACAUACGUUUCAUACCUGCAAUUAUUUAACAUCGAACCCAUCAUGGAACUGGGUAGUCAUUUGUAGUUUGAUUUGGCUACACUCAGGUCCUCCCCACGGCUCCGUAAUUUCAUAGCCCUGCAACCGGAAUCCCCAAAUCUCAGGAGCACUUACAGGCAGCCUACCACGAUGCCUGACUUACCUGUCGAAGUGAUCAUUUUUGGCAUACUUACAAGGGUUCCAGAGAAGACUGCCGCCCGAUCUAAAAGUGUCUGCAAGGAAUGGCGUGCGCUACUGUCAACACGCAACUUUGAAAAAGCUCACUGUUCACGCUCAUCGAUCCCGAGUAAUCAAAGAACCCUAUUUCUUCGUGACCUCAAUUGCCAUGUUCACCCGAUGGAUUUUGAGAUUGCUGACUACGGCCCAUAGACUAUACUUCCGCUCCCGUUUCAAGCUAAAAUAAGGGAUGUCAUGGUGAUGUCACAUCUGGACAGCAUACACAUGAAUUACUCCUCUGGAAUCCCACGACUGGCGCACACAGGCUUUUGGCAACCCCAGCUGGCCAUGGCCUGUAUAAAGAUAUAGCAGAUACCGUUGGCUUGUACAAUGGUGCAUCUAACGACUACAGACUACUGCAUUUAUCUCGAACAUCAGAUCUGCUAUCAGCCCAUAUCUACUCUAGACAACUAGGAAGCUGGUGAAAAAUAGGCUUCGAAACUAACCCUAAAAUACCAAACGUGCAGAUUCUAUUGGUCACCUAGUACCGUAUGCGGUGACACUUUGUACUUUACCGUCUGCAAAUGUUGGGUAGUGGGUAAAAGUGUUGUUGUUGGGUUUGGUACCAACACUGAGGAGGUUACGGAGAUUAGCUUCCUGCCAGUACCAUCCUCGGGGAUUUUCCAAGGCAUUUUAGUCGAUGUGCAGAAGUCUCUUCACAUGGUUCUGUGGACUGGCCAUCAAGAUAUGUCACUGACACUAUGGGCCCUACAAGGAGAACACUGGGUCAAACACUUCUCAACUCCUACAGUCCCCCCCAUACCCUUAGCACUGUGGCUAACCGUCACCCACUACAUGACCAAUGGAACUUUUUUUGGUGAUGAGUAACUCACGAAAGCUUUAUGAAAUACGAGUUGACAACAACCCUUAGAAUGUUAUUACGCAUCCAGUUGGUUUCGAGGCUACAUAGGCGUGGUUUUCCUACAGACCUUAGUCUCAUCAAAUUGUUGAUUUCUUUAAAACAUCAUCUUUACUAUGUUAUUACUGUACUGUUGGUUUCUGGUAUGUUUGUCACCUAUGUUGCUUUUGUUCACACAUCUAAGCAUGAGUUAUUUAAAUGGUUUUACUACUUU
Helianthus annuus (common sunflower) is the source of this 1625-nucleotide long non-coding RNA. RefSeq lists it as uncharacterized. Lineage: Eukaryota; Viridiplantae; Streptophyta; Magnoliopsida; Asterales; Asteraceae. The transcript is spliced from 3 exons. The record is from RefSeq and is a predicted model, not a curated record.